GUGAUCAAGCGACCAAGGGCACAUGGCGGAUGCCUUGGCGUCGAGAGGCGAUGAAGGACGUGGCUACCUGCGAGAAGCCCGAGGGAGCUGGAAGCAAGCUGUGAUCUCGGGAUGUCCGAAUGGGGAAACCCGGCCCGCAGAGGGUCAUCGCGCGCUGAAUGCAUAGGCGCGCGAAGCGAACCCGGAGAACUGAAACAUCUCAGUACCCGGAGGAAAGGAAAGCAACAGCGACUCCGUCAGUAGCGGCGAGCGAAAGCGGAUCAGCCGGCGCGCAUCGUGAACUGUCUGGAAAGCCAGACCGAAGAAGGUGAGAGUCCUGUAGCGGUGUUGCCGGUGAGGCCUCGAGUAGUGUCGAGCCCGUGAAACUCGGCAUGAACAUGGGGGGACCACCCUCCAAGCCUAAGUACUCCUCGACGACCGAUAGUGAAUCAGUAAGGCGACUGAAUGGUGACAAGCACCCUUGUGAAGGGAGUGAAAGAGCACCUGAAACCAUGUGCCUACAAGCGGUCGGAGCCCGUCUUUGACGGGUGACGGCGUGCCUUUUGCAUAAUGAGCCGGCGAGUUGCUCUGUACGGCGAGGCUAAGGCUCAACGAGCCGGAGCCGGAGCGAAAGCGAGUCUGAAAUGGGCGUCCAGUCGUACGGGGCAGACGCGAAACCUGGUGAUCUACCCAUGGGCAGGCUGAAGGACGGGUAACACCGUCUGGAGGGCCGAACGCACCAACGUUGAAAAGUUGGGCGAUGACCUGUGGGGAGGAGUAAAAGUCUAAUCAAACCAGGAGAUAGCUCGUUCUCUCCGAAAUGUCUUGAGGGACAGCCUCGCGUGGCAACCGAUGGGGGUAGAGCGACUGGAUGCCUUUGGGGCCCUACCCGGGUACCCGGGGCAACCAAACUCCGAAUACCAUCGGCCGAGGCGCGGGAGUGAGUCCGCGGGUGACAAUAUCCGCGGUCGAGAGGAGAACAACCCAGACCGCCAGCUAAGGCCCCCAAUCCCUGCUCAGUUCUUAAGGAAGUCGAACUGCCGUGACAGCCAGGAUGUUGGCUUAGAAGCAGCCAUCAUUUAAAGAGUGCGUAAUAGCUCACUGGUCGAGGAGUUCGGCGCCGAUAAUGAUCGGGAAUAAGCAGGGAGCCGAAGCUGCGGGCUCCGACUUGUCGGAGCGGUAGGAGAGCGUUCCUGUCGGCGUCGAAGCGGUCCCGGGAGGGUCCGUGGAGCGUCAGGAAGUGAAUAUGCCGGCUUGAGUAACGAUAAAGCAGGUGAAAAUCCUGCUCGCCGAAAGCCCAAGGGUUCCUGGGGAAGGGAAAUCCGCCCAGGGUUAGCCGGAUCCUAAGGCGAGGCCGAAAGGCGUAGUCGAUGGACAGCAGGUUAAUAUUCCUGCGCCUCCGCGGAGAUCGAACCAGCGUGCGGAUCCCCAAGGUCGGCGGGGCGGCCGGUAGCGCCCAGGCCUUCGAGGCCGGUGCCGGCGGAGGGGGUCCCGGGAAAAGCGCUGGGGGCGAAGCGGAGUCCGUACCAAAACUGACACAGGUGGGCGUGGCGAAUAGCCUCAGGCGCUCGAGAGAAUGGUCGUGAAGGAACUAGGCAAAUUGACCCCGUACGUUCGCAAGAAGGGGGCCCUACCCCGCGAGGGGAGGGCGCAGAGAAGAGGCUCUGGCGACUGUUUAUCAAAAACACAGCACUGUGCGAACUCGCAAGAGGAUGUAUACAGUGUGACGCUUGCCCGGUGCCGGAACGUCACGGAAGCGGGUUAGCUUCGGCGAAGCUCGCGACCUAAGCGCCGGUAAACGGCGGCCGUAACUAUGACGGUCCUAAGGUAGCGAAAUUCCUUGUCGGGUAAGUUCCGACGCGCAUGAAUAGCGUAACGACUGGAGCACUGUCUCCACGACCAACUCGGUGAAAUAGUAGUGGCGGUGAAGAUGCCGCCUCCCCGCGGCAAGACGGAAAGACCCCGUGGACCUUUACUGCAGGCUUUCAUUGGUCACGAGCAUGCGCUGCGUAGGAUAGGUGGGAGGCUUCGAAGCGGGCGUUCCGGCGCCCGUGGAGCCGUUGGUGAAAUACCACCCUGUGCACGUUUGUGGCCUCACCCCGAUUCCCGUGAAGCCGGGCGGGGGACCGUGAGUGCCGGGUAGUUUGACUGGGGCGGUCUCCUCCUAAAGAGUAACGGAGGAGUGCAAAGGUCGGCUCAGCGCGGAUGGAAACCGCGUGGUGCGUACAAAGGCACAAGCCGGCUUGACUGCGAGACCGGCGGGUCGAGCAGGUGCGAAAGCAGGCCUUAGUGAUCCUGCGGUCCCGUGUGGAAGGGCCGUAGCUCAUCGGAUAAAAGGUACCCCGGGGAUAACAGGCUGAUCGCUCCCGAGCGUCCAUAGCGGCGGAGCGGUUUGGCACCUCGAUGUCGGCUCAUC
RNAcentral lists this ribosomal RNA (2395 nucleotides) under Planctomycetota bacterium. RNAcentral describes it as "bacterial LSU rRNA". It matches the Rfam family "Bacterial large subunit ribosomal RNA", at positions 1 to 2541 of the family's 2925-position model. Lineage: Bacteria; Pseudomonadati; Planctomycetota. The record is from RNAcentral.